GUUGUAUAGUCAAGUAAUUAAGUGCAUGUGGUGGAUGCCUUGGCAGUCAGAGGCGAUGAAAGACGUGAUAGCCUGCGAAAAGCUCCGGGGAGGCGGCAAAUAUCCUUUGAUCCGGAGAUGUCUGAAUGGGGGAACCCACCUACUUUAAGGUAGGUAUUGCAACAUGAAUACAUAGUGUUGCAAGGCGAACGAGGGGAAGUGAAACAUCUCAGUACCCUUAGGAAAAGAAAUCAAUUGAGAUUCCCUCAGUAGCGGCGAGCGAACGGGGAUCAGCCCAUUAAGUUAUGUGUGUUUUAGUGGAACGCUCUGGGAAGUGCGAACGUAGAGGGUGAUAUUCCCGUACACGAAAGGGCACACAUAAUGAUGACGAGUAGGGCGAGGCACGUGAAACCUUGUCUGAAUAUGGGGGGACCAUCCUCCAAGGCUAAAUACUCCUGACUGACCGAUAGUGAACCAGUACCGUGAGGGAAAGGCGAAAAGAACCCCUGUGAGGGGAGUGAAAUAGAUCCUGAAACCGCAUGCAUACAAGCAGUGGGAGCACCUUCGUGGUGUGACUGCGUACCUUUUGUAUAAUGGGUCAGCGACUUAUAUUCAGUAGCAAGGUUAACCGUAUAGGGGAGCCGUAGAGAAAUCGAGUCUUAAUAGGGCGUUUAGUUGCUGGGUAUAGACCCGAAACCAGGCGAUCUAUCCAUGAGCAGGUUGAAGGUUGGGUAACACUAACUGGAGGACCGAACCCACUGUCGUUGAAAAGCCAGGGGAUGACUUGUGGAUAGGGGUGAAAGGCUAAUCAAGCCUGGUGAUAGCUGGUUCUCCCCGAAAGCUAUUUAGGUAGCGCCUCGGACGAAUACCAUAGGGGGUAGAGCACUGUUUCGGCUAGGGGGUCAUCCCGACUUACCAAACCGAUGCAAACUCCGAAUACCUAUGAGUACUAUCCGGGAGACAGACUGCGGGUGCUAACGUCCGUAGUCAAGAGGAAAACAAUCCAGACCGCCAGCUAAGGCCCCAAAAUCAUAGUUAAGUGGGAAACGAUGUGGGAAGGCAUAGACAGCUAGGAGGUUGGCUUAGAAGCAGCCACCCUUUAAAGAAAGCGUAAUAGCUCACUAGUCGAGUCGGCCUGCGCGGAAGAUGUAACGGGGCUAAAACUAUGUGCCGAAGCUGCGGA
This 1162-nucleotide ribosomal RNA is filed under the name Acinetobacter baumannii. Its description in RNAcentral is "bacterial LSU rRNA". It matches the Rfam family "Bacterial large subunit ribosomal RNA", at positions 1 to 1206 of the family's 2925-position model. The record is from RNAcentral. Lineage: Bacteria; Pseudomonadati; Pseudomonadota; Gammaproteobacteria; Moraxellales; Moraxellaceae.